This 267-nucleotide ribosomal RNA is filed under the name uncultured bacterium. RNAcentral's name for it is "partial 16S ribosomal RNA". It matches the Rfam family "Bacterial small subunit ribosomal RNA", at positions 88 to 354 of the family's 1533-position model. The record is from RNAcentral.
AUGGCGACCGGCGCACGGGUGCGUAACGCGGUAUGCAACCUAACCUGUAACAGGGGGAUAACACUGAGAAAUCGGUACUAAUACCGCAUAACACUAUGAGAGGCAUCUCUUGUGGUUGAAAGUUUCGGCGGUUACAGAUGGGCAUGCGUUGUAUUAGCUGGUUGGUAAGGUAACGGCUUACCAAGGCGACGAUACAUAGGGGGACUGAGAGGUUAACCCCCCACAUUGGUACUGAGACACGGACCAAACUCCUACGGGAGGCAGCAG